GACGAACGCUGGCGGCGUGCUUAACACAUGCAAGUCGAACGGAAAGGCCCUGCUUUUGUGGGGUUCUCGAGUGGCGAACGGGUGAGUAACACGUGAGUAACCUGCCCUUGACUUUGGGAUAACUUCAGGAAACUGGGGCUAAUACCGGAUAGGAGCUCCUGCUGCAUGGUGGGGGUUGGAAAGUUUCGGCGGUUGGGGAUGGACUCGCGGCUUAUCAGCUUGUUGGUGGGGUAGUGGCUUACCAAGGCUUUGACGGGUAGCCGGCCUGAGAGGGUGACCGGGCACCUUGGGACUGAGAUAGGGCCCAGACUCCUACGGGAGGCAGCAGUGGGGAAUAUUGCACAAUGGGCGGACGCCUGAUGCAGCAACGCCGCGUGCGGGAUGACGGCCUUCGGGUUGUAAACCGCUUUCGCCUGUGACGAAGCGUGAGUGACGGUAAUGGGUAAAGAAGCACCGGCUAACUACGUG
This 468-nucleotide ribosomal RNA is filed under the name uncultured bacterium. RNAcentral's name for it is "partial 16S ribosomal RNA". It matches the Rfam family "Bacterial small subunit ribosomal RNA", at positions 28 to 507 of the family's 1533-position model. The record is from RNAcentral.